GCAGGUUGAAGCGCGGGUAAGACCGCGUGGAGGACCGAACCCACCUGGGUUGAAAACCGGGGGGAUGACCUGGGGCUAGGGGUGAAAGGCCAAUCAAAUUCCGUGAUAGCUGGUUCUCUCCGAAAUGCAUUUAGGUGCAGCGUCGGUCGAUUGCGUCGCGGGGGUAGAGCUACCGGAUGCUUGCGGGCCCUUGUUGGGUACCAACAGCAGCCGAACUCCGAAUACCGUUGACGUGUAUUCCGGCAGUGAGUCGGCGGGGGAUAAGCUCCGUCGUCGAGAGGGAGACAGCCCAGACCGUCGUCUAAGGUCCCGAAGCGUGUGCUAAGUGGGAAAGGAUGUGGAGUCGCAUAGACAGCCAGGAGGUUGGCUCAGAAGCAGCCAUCCUUGAAAGAGUGCGUAACAGCUCACUGGUCUAGUGGUUCCGCGCCGACAAUGUAGCGGGGCUCAAGCACACCACCGAAGACGCGGCAGCAAUCUUCAUGGUUGCUGGGUAGGAGAGCGUCCUGCGAGGGGCGAAGCGGCGGUGGAAACCGGCCGUGGACUUCGUGGGAGUGAGAAUGCAGACAUGAGUAGCGAGAGACGGGUGAGGAUCCCGUCCGCUGGAUGACCAAGGGUUCCGGGGCCACGUUCGUCGUCCCCGGGUGAGUCGGGUCCUAAGGCGAGGCCGACAGGCGUAGUCGAAUGGAUGAACGGGUGGAUAUUCCCGUACCGACCAUGGACCGGCAAAACCGAGACGGUGAGUACUAACCUCCGCCUCGUGGUGGUUCCUUCCUUCGGGUUGGUCCCGCCGCGUGGUGUUGGGAGCGUAGCCGCAGUAGGUCAGCGCAGGGGUGACACGGAAUGGGAGCCGGCCGCGGAGGUGGUUUUCCGUGGUCAAGCACGCAGCCAGUCAUGUAGGCAAAUCCGCAUGGCGCGCAUGGCGAGGUGUGAUGAUGGGAGCCUUUUGGGCUCGAUAUCCGGUUGUCCAGGCCGUCGAGAAAAGCCUCGGCGUGAGGGCCAUGGCCGCCCGUACCCCAAACCGACACUGGUGGUCAGGUAGAGAAUACCAAGGCGAUCGAGCGAAUCCUGGUCAAGGAACUCGGCAAAUCACUCCCGUGCCUUCGGUAUAAGGGAGACCCACUGGGGUGAAGGACCUUGCGUCCGGAGCUUUGGUGGGUGGCACAGACCAGGGGGUAGCGACUGUUUACCAAAAACACAGGUGCAUGCGAAGGCGAAAGCCGCUGUAUAUGCACUGACGCCUGCCCGGUGCCGGAAGGUUAAGAGGAUCCGUCAAUCCCUUCGGGGACGAAGCGGUGAAUUCAAGCCCCGGUAAACGGCGGUGGUAACUAUAACCAUCCUAAGGUAGCGAAAUUCCUUGUCGGGUAAGUUCCGACCUGCACGAAUGGCGUAA
This 1390-nucleotide ribosomal RNA is filed under the name human gut metagenome. RNAcentral describes it as "bacterial LSU rRNA". It matches the Rfam family "Bacterial large subunit ribosomal RNA", at positions 740 to 2004 of the family's 2925-position model. The record is from RNAcentral.